UCCCUGGAGGACUAGCGGUUAGGCCACAGCGCUCUCACCGCUGCAGCCCGGGUUCAAUUCCUGGCCAGGGAA
This 72-nucleotide transfer RNA is filed under the name Pangasius djambal. Its description in RNAcentral is "tRNA-Glu". It matches the Rfam family "tRNA". Rfam says of the family: Transfer RNA (tRNA) molecules are approximately 80 nucleotides in length. Lineage: Eukaryota; Metazoa; Chordata; Actinopteri; Siluriformes; Pangasiidae. The record is from RNAcentral.